Long non-coding RNA from Macaca mulatta (Rhesus monkey), 3047 nucleotides. Lineage: Eukaryota; Metazoa; Chordata; Mammalia; Primates; Cercopithecidae. The record is from Ensembl.
AUGUGCACGCGUGCAUGUAAGUGUGGGGGGCACACAGGUGUGCAUGCAUGUGAGCAUGGGCCUGCGUGUGUGCACAUAUAUGAGUAUAUGCAUAUAUGUGUAUAUGCAUGUGUGUGCACAGGUGCAUGUGUGUGGCUGCACACAGGUGUGCAUGCACAAGCUCAGCCCUUGUUAUCCCCAUUCCCAGACAGGACUGCACCUCACGGCUGCGCCUCUGGAAUGACAGUGCUCACCCAGAAAGCCAAACCAAGAUCUCAGUGCCCCUUCUCCUUCGCUGCUGAAGAAACAGAUCUGAGAAGAGGUCCAGAUACUGUCACAGACAACCCCCGCGGAUGGGUGCCCACCCCCACGGAUCACUGUGGAGGCAGCUGGAUCCACGUGGAAAACGCCGCCAGUGGCUUCUCCCGCUGCUGCAGAGCAGGUGAGCUUGUGAGUCGCCUGGCAGGACACCGAGUGGCCAGAACAGCCCGGACUCCCAGCCCUGUGCUGCCUUGUGUGGGGUGCAGCCUCGGAGGGGCCUUCAAAGAGUAACUUUUCACUUCUCUGCUCUCCAUGGAGUCCCAGGGUUUAAUACAAAUGUCCAUUGUAGAUAUUUAUUAACUUAAAAAAGCAACCAACCGCUAUCACUCAGAGACUCCCUUCCUUGUUUUAAUUGGUUUGUUUAAUUGCUAGCUGUGUGGCCUGGGGCAGGUUAGCUCACCUCUCUGCGCUCUGUUUCUCCAUCUGUAUAUGGGAAUGAUAAUGUGAUCUAGUGCAUAAGAUUGAUGUGAGAAUUAAACGGAAAUGUCAGGACAAAUCACAGCACCCGGGCAAUGUUGGUGUUUCCUAUUCAAGAACUUCACCGAUUUUAUUACAAGUAAGAAGCACGAAUCCCUCCCCUGUUCACCCUGCAGUGUACCAGGUUUGCUGUGGCUCUUGUUCUCUAGACCUUUCUUGGGGUGACGGGUGGCUCAGCCCCCAGCAAGUCAGGAGUGUCCCUUUUUACUUCUCUUCAUUCUUGGUGCUUAUGAGGGCUCGGUAACCGAGGCUUUGAGGGCAGAGGGGUCAGAGCUUGGGUCCAACCAGCUUUGCUGCGCUAGAACCUUCUGCAGCCGCUUGCACUGCGCUGCACCCUCUCGCCCGCGCGGAGGCCCGGCACCUCUCCCCACCUUCAUGGAGCGCACUGCCAUCCACAGACAAAGUCUGCAGGUGUGGGGGCAAAGAGAGACCCUCGUGGAGACCCCGAGUGCGGGGAGAGCAGAAAGCAGGGGAGUCCACACAGGGCAGGCAGCACCAACUGGGGUUUCUGAGGACAGGAAAGGAGGGAGUGUCUGGUGGGAAGCUGGCGAGGAGGGGGCUGGGAGCUGGUAAAGGGGUAACGGAAGGUCGCCUAGCUGCCUACCCCAAUGGCACUCACCCCCCACCCCAGCCUGCCCUGCUCCACCCUCUUCUGCACAGGCCUGAGCCCGCUGUGGAGCCCUCUGUGGGGUCCCAAGGCCCCCACAGACCAGGGGCUCCAGCCUGCUGCCUUCCCAGACGCAGGGACCCUGGGCGCCUCCACAAGCACCCCGAAUCCUUAUCUGCUGUGGGCGAAGAGGAAAGGCCAGGGAUAAGGGUGCAUGUGGGGCACCCCAACUCUCCCCAGACGGACAGCGCUGGCCGUCCAGACCCCCGUGGGGGGGAUCCAGUGACACCCACCCCAACAGCUCCACGCUGCCGCCUUCCUGCCUUCCCAGGUCUUCACCCUCCACCAAGGAGAGAAGCCAGCGUCCUCUCCUAGCCCUGACUGACAGGAGCUGAGGGCCCGUUUCUGCAAGAAAAAACUUUCGUGGGGUGGCUCCCGCCUGUAAUCCCAGAACUUUGGGAGGUCGAGGUGGGCGGAUCAUCUGAGGUCAGGAGCUCAACCGAGACCAGCCUGAUCAACUUGGUGAAACCCCGUCUCUACCAAAAAUACAAAAAUUAGCCGGGUGUGGUGGCGGGUGCCUGUAGUCCCAGCUACUCGGAGGCUAAGGCAGGAGAAUCGCUUGAACCCGGGAGGCAGUGAGCUGAGAUCGCGCAGCUGCACUCCAGCCUGGGCGACUGAGCGAGACUCCGCCUAAGAAAGACAGAAAGAGACCCCAUCUCUACUAAAAAAUACAAAAAACUAGCCGGGCGAGGUGGCGGGCGCCUGUAGUCCCAGCUACUCGGGAGGCUGAGGCAGGAGAAUGGCAUAAACCUGGGAAGCGGAGCUUGCAGUGAGCUGAGAUCCGGCCACUGCACUCCAGCCUGGGCGACAGAGCGAGACUCCGUCUCAAAAAAAAAAUAAUAAUAAAAAAAAAAUAAAGACAGAAAGAGAAAAACUUCCAUGGCCCCAAGCACCGCCGCCAAGCCUGGGUCUAGUCGGUGUGCUCCGAACCCACCGGUCCGGUUCCCGAGACCUGCGGAGCUGCUCCGCCGCAGCGACGCCUCCAUGCAGCCCUCACCGGGAGUGCGAGCGGGACACGGUUCCCUGACCUGGGUCGCUUCCUACCUACCCGCAUUUCUGGCCCCUGAAGGAAACUCUUCCCGAGUCCCCGAGAGCCGGCUGAGAGUCCCACCGGGAUUGCGGGCUUCGCGCCUGGCACCCAGAUCGGGCCUUAGAGGCUGGACCCUGCCCGCCUCCCACUAGGACCCCGAGCCUCGUGGCCCCGCUUGCUCAGAAACCGAGGAAAUCGCGGGGCUCCCGCCAGUGCACCCCGUCCCGGUCCAGCGACCCGAGCCAGGCAGUCCCUAUGGAAGCCAGUUCCCUGCACCGAGCCUCGAAUGCAGCCACGCAACGAGGGGGCCCACGGAGUUCCACCGCCUCGUGUCCAUCGGUGAGCGGGGCCGGGAUCACCGACUCAGCCACCAGACACGGAGCCCGUCUCUAGGCCAGCCUUGGGCGGGGGCCUGGCCAGGGAGGAACUCGCACAAAGUUGGAGACUCGCACAAAGUUGGAGAAGUUUCUGCGCCCGACUCGCCGGGGCUCACGAAGGUCUCGGCCGCCUGUGUAGCUGCACUGGUCCGGGCUCCGCGCUGGCCGCCCCGUGUCGUGCGUCCUUGUCGCCAAG